RNAcentral lists this transfer RNA (72 nucleotides) under Heterocephalus glaber (naked mole-rat). It matches the Rfam family "tRNA". From Rfam's summary of the family: Transfer RNA (tRNA) molecules are approximately 80 nucleotides in length. Their secondary structure includes four short double-helical elements and three loops (D, anti-codon, and T loops). Further hydrogen bonds mediate the characteristic L-shaped molecular structure. tRNAs have two regions of fundamental functional importance: the anti-codon, which is responsible for specific mRNA codon recognition, and the 3' end, to which the tRNAs corresponding amino acid is attached (by aminoacyl-tRNA synthetases). tRNAs cope with the degeneracy of the genetic code in two manners: having more than one tRNA (with a specific anti-codon) for a particular amino acid; and 'wobble' base-pairing, i.e. permitting non-standard base-pairing at the 3rd anti-codon position. Lineage: Eukaryota; Metazoa; Chordata; Mammalia; Rodentia; Bathyergidae. The record is from Rfam by way of RNAcentral.
GUGGGUGUAGCUCAACAGCACAGCACCUGCCUGGCAAGCAUGAGGUCCUGAGUUUGAUUCCCGGUACCCAAA